CUACGGGGUGCACCAGUGGGGAAUAUUGCGCAAUGGGCGAAAGCCUGACGCAGCAACGCCGUGUGAGGGAUGAAGGCUUUCGGGUCGUAAACCUCUGUCAGAAGGGAAGAACGGGUAUUGGUCUAAUAGGCCUUUAUUUUGACGGUACCUUCAGAGGAAGCACCGGCUAACUCCGUGCCAGCAGCCGCGGUAAUACGGAGGGUGCAAGCGUUAUUCGGAAUUACUGGGCGUAAAGCGCACGUAGGCCGCUUUGUAAGUCAGGGGUGAAAUCCCACGGCUCAACCGUGGAACUGCCUUUGAAACUGCAGAGCUUGAAUGCUGGAGAGGGUGGCGGAAUUCCUGGUGUAGGAGUGAAAUCCGUAGAUAUCAGGAGGAACACCGGUGGCGAAGGCGGCCACCUGGACAGGUAUUGACGCUGAGGUGCGAAAGUGUGGGGAGCAAACAGGAUUAGAUACCCUUGUAGUC
Molecule: ribosomal RNA, 465 nt
Filed under: uncultured bacterium
Lineage: Bacteria
Description: partial 16S ribosomal RNA
Rfam family: Bacterial small subunit ribosomal RNA
Source: RNAcentral